This 868-nucleotide ribosomal RNA is filed under the name uncultured bacterium. Its description in RNAcentral is "bacterial SSU rRNA". It matches the Rfam family "Bacterial small subunit ribosomal RNA", at positions 78 to 916 of the family's 1533-position model. The record is from RNAcentral.
AGUAAUCGGGAUACACGACCGGCGCACGGGUGAGUAACGCGUAUGCAACCUACCUUCAACAGGGAUAUACUCCCGGAAACGGGAAUUAAUAUCCCAUAAUAUUUUUUUAUAGCUUAUAGAAAGAUUAAAGCUCAGGCGGUUGAAGAUGGGCAUGCGUGACAUUAGCUAGUUGGUAAGGUAACGGCUUACCAAGGCUACGAUGUCUAGGGGGUCUGAGAGGAUGAUCCCCCACACUGGUACUGAGACACGGACCAGACUCCUACGGGAGGCAGCAGUGAGGAAUAUUGGGCAAUGGACGCAAGUCUGACCCAGCCAUGCCGCGUGCAGGAUGACUGCCCUAUGGGUUGUAAACUGCUUUUCUGCAGGAAGAAACUUCCCGACGUGUCGGGACUUGACGGUACUGCAGGAAUAAGCAUCGGCUAACUCCGUGCCAGCAGCCGCGGUUAUACGGAGGAUACGCAGCGUUAUCCCGGAUAUUAUUGGGUUAAAGGUGCGUAGCCCGCGAGAAAAAUAAGUCAGUGGUGAUCUCCUGCAGCUUCUGUAGAGAACUGCCAUUGACACGGGUCUCCUUGAGUAUCAGUUGAAGUGGGCGGAAUGUGUUUUGUAGCGGUGAAAUGCUUAGAUUCACACGAGCACACUCUAUGCGCGAAGGCAGCGUCACAUAAACCUACAUACAGACCGCUGACGCCACGAAGAGCUGUGGGCGCGAACACGGAGUAUUUCGAUACCCUUUUUUUCCACCCGUGUAACACGUGUGAUACACUCGAUGUGCUGCGCACACCACUCGUAACGCGCUGUCGUAUAACCGGAAACAUUAAUAUCACCUGGGGGAGUACGAUCGCAAGAUUGAAACUCAANGNAUUGACGG